RNAcentral lists this ribosomal RNA (267 nucleotides) under Triticum aestivum (bread wheat). Its description in RNAcentral is "partial small subunit ribosomal RNA". The record is from RNAcentral. Lineage: Eukaryota; Viridiplantae; Streptophyta; Magnoliopsida; Poales; Poaceae.
AUGGUGGAGACAAAAAAACAUAUUGUCUAUCCCUUGGUUUAUCGACUUUUGAAGCUAGCACUAGUAUUGCCUGUUGCCACUGCUACAGUUGAGAGAUCUUUUUCAGCUAUGAGAAUUGUGAAGACAUAUUUGCGCAACCGUCUUGGUGAUGACUCCUUGAAGUACAACCUUAUUUGUUAUGUGGAGAAAAGCGAAAUGAGGAAGGUUACUAAUGAUGCGGUAAUUGAUCGUUUUGAAGCCAUGAAAGAACGUAGGAAACCAUUUUAG